GACAGACUUCAGUUCUUCAGCCUCAGGGACCGAAUUCUGCCAACAACUUAAAUGACCCUGGAAGAAGAUCCUGAGCCUUCAAUAAGAGCACAGUUCACACAGGACACUUUGUUUCCAACCAUGUGAGACCCUAAGCACAGCCUGACCUUCCUGACCCACAGAAACAUCAAAAAAACAAAUGGGUGUUUUUCUUAUACAGCAAUCAAAAAUUAAUAUACUCUAGAUACCAUAUUUCAUAGUAGUAAAAAUUGAUAAAGAAACUUUGUUUCUCAAAACAAAGUUAUGAGAAAGUUACUGGUUCAUAUACUAACACAAAGUACUCUUUUGCAGCAUUAGUAGUAGAAGGCUUUAAUUCACCUGUCAGCAUGUCAUCAAGGACUAUUAAAGCAAGUAAGAAUUUAGGAUAUACUUCAGACAGAGGAAAUGGCUGUGUGGAUGAAGGAAGAGAGUGUGUACACACAUUAAAGAGUCAUGAUGAUCAUCAGCAAAGUGCGAAGCUUUGCAUCCAGGAACGUCAAGGGAUGUAUACAUCUUCCAGAUUGGGCAGGUACCCAAAAUGAUUAAAGAGGGAAAAUACACUGGAUUCCAAAAGAUCUGGAAUAGUGCUUACGCCUACAAGUUAGAAAUUAAAACUUCAUUAUUCACAAGUAAUGAAGUAGACUACUCAAAACAGAUUUUGUCU
This 682-nucleotide long non-coding RNA is filed under the name Sus scrofa (pig). RNAcentral's name for it is "lncRNA (ENSSSCG00070018257.1)". The record is from RNAcentral. Lineage: Eukaryota; Metazoa; Chordata; Mammalia; Artiodactyla; Suidae.